This 377-nucleotide ribosomal RNA is filed under the name uncultured bacterium. RNAcentral describes it as "bacterial SSU rRNA". It matches the Rfam family "Bacterial small subunit ribosomal RNA", at positions 970 to 1346 of the family's 1533-position model. The record is from RNAcentral.
CUUACCAGGCCUUGACAUGCAGAGAACUUUCCAGAGAUGGAUUGGUGCCUUCGGGAACUCAGACACAGGUGCUGCAUGGCGGUCGUCAGCUCGUGUCGUGAGAUGUUGGGUUAAGUCCCGUAACGAGCGCAACCCUUGUCCUUAGUUACCAGCACGUAAUGGUGGGCACUCUAAGGAGACUGCCGGUGACAAACCGGAGGAAGGUGGGGAUGACGUCAAGUCAUCAUGGCCCUUACGGCCUGGGCUACACACGUGCUACAAUGGUCGGUACAAAGGGUUGCCAAGCCGCGAGGUGGAGCUAAUCCCAAAAACCCGAUCGUAGUCCGGAUCGCAGUCUGCAACUCGACUGCGUGAAGUCGGAAUCGCUAGUAAUGGCG